GUAGGUGAACCUGCGGAGGGAUCAUUAACACGUAUCCAAACGUAACUAAACCAAACCCGCGCUCCUUUUUUGCCCAUGUCAGGAGGUGUAUAUGCAAGCCAUAAGAUAGAUUCAGCACCCCUUUACCGGGGGGUUGUCUACUUGCAGUACUAUGGUCUCUUCGAGGACCGAACCGAUCUGGUCAUGGUGUACUGAAAGCUAUCUGGUUAUCAGUGCCACCCCGGUAUCGACCCGGAGCCUGGUAGCCUUA
This 250-nucleotide unclassified non-coding RNA is filed under the name plant metagenome. Its description in RNAcentral is "partial contains small subunit ribosomal RNA, internal transcribed spacer 1, and 5.8S ribosomal RNA". The record is from RNAcentral.